ACGUAGGACGCAAGCGUUAUCCGGAAUUACUGGGCGUAAAGGGCGUGCAGGCGUUUCUUUCCUUUCUUCUUACCCUCUCCCUUCUCCCCCUUUCUUUUUCUUCUGAUACUGGGGGACUAGAGUGUGGUAGAGGGGUGUAGAAUUCCGGGUGUAGUGGUGAAAUGCGUAGAUAUCCGGAGGAAUACCAGUGGCGAAGGCGGCACCCUGGGCCAUAACUGACGCUAAGACGCGAAAGCAUGGGUAGCGAACGG
This 251-nucleotide ribosomal RNA is filed under the name uncultured prokaryote. Its description in RNAcentral is "partial 16S ribosomal RNA". It matches the Rfam family "Bacterial small subunit ribosomal RNA", at positions 525 to 775 of the family's 1533-position model. The record is from RNAcentral.